Non-coding RNA from Hordeum vulgare subsp. vulgare (domesticated barley), 70 nucleotides. The record is from Rfam. Lineage: Eukaryota; Viridiplantae; Streptophyta; Magnoliopsida; Poales; Poaceae.
UGAAAUUGGUAGACACGCUGCUCUUAGGAAGCAGUGCUCAAGCAUCUCGGUUCGAAUCCGAGUGGCGGCA